AUGAAUGAUGCACUAACUAAACCUUUUUCUGCCGAGGAAAUAAGCGAUGCCCUAUUCCAAAUUGGUCCCUUAAAAUCUCCCGGACCGGAUGGCUUUCCGGCGCGGUUCUUCCAAAGAAAUUGGGGGGAAGUUAAGGAGGAAGUUGUGAAAGGAGUAUUGGAUUUCUUUGAGAAGAGCAUUCUCCCGGAAGGAAUAAAUGACAGAGUGAUAGUAUUAAUACCAAAAGGUAAUGACCCACAAUCCUUGAAGGACUACAGACCGAUCAGCCUAUGUAACGUCAUAUAUAAAGUUGUGUCGAAGUGCCUUGUAAACAGGUUAAGGCCCAUCUUGGAUGAGAUCAUUUCAGAGACCCAGAGCGCUUUCAUUCCGGGCAGACUAAUAACAGAUAACGCCAUCAUUGCGUUCGAGUGUUUCCACAAGAUCCAACACUGUCGGAAUGAGAGAGACAAUUACUGUGCAUAUAAACUUGAUCUUGCAAAGGCGUAUGACAGAGUUGACUGGAGUUUUAUGGAAGGUGUUCUGCGGAAAUCAGGUUUUUGCAAAAAUAUGGACUGA
Molecule: ribosomal RNA, 555 nt
Filed under: Triticum aestivum (bread wheat)
Lineage: Eukaryota; Viridiplantae; Streptophyta; Magnoliopsida; Poales; Poaceae
Description: partial small subunit ribosomal RNA
Source: RNAcentral